GACAGAGGGUGCAAGCGUUGUUCGGAAUCAUUGGGCGUAAAGGGCGCGUAGGCGGUGGAGUAAGUCAACUGUGAAAGCCCAGGGCUUAACCUUGGAAGUGCAGCUGAAACUACUUCACUCGAGUCUCGGAGAGGAGCGCGGAAUUCCCGGUGUAGCGGUGAAAUGCGUAGAGAUCGGGAGGAAGGCCGGUGGCGAAGGCGGCGCUCUGGAACAUUUCUGACGCUGAGGCUCGAAAGCGUGGGGAGCAAAC
This 250-nucleotide ribosomal RNA is filed under the name uncultured bacterium. Its description in RNAcentral is "partial 16S ribosomal RNA". It matches the Rfam family "Bacterial small subunit ribosomal RNA", at positions 524 to 773 of the family's 1533-position model. The record is from RNAcentral.